AAGUCGUAACAAGGUUUCCGUAGGUGAACCUGCGGAAGGAUCAUUCAUGUAAUAUCCAUUGGGUAAGAGUUGUGGAUCUAAUUCACUUCUCCCAACCUCUAACACUUUGUGAACCAAAUAGCCUAGAUAGCUCUUGCCCACUAUAGCAUUCCGUGGAGUGCUGCUUUGUGGGCAACAGCCGUCAUUUACAACAAACAUUUUACCAAUUGCAUUAUAAUACAAUAGACAAAAGUUAUAUAUAAUUAAAUAUAACCUUUAACAAUGGAUCUCUUGGUUCCU
RNAcentral lists this unclassified non-coding RNA (279 nucleotides) under fungal sp. RNAcentral's name for it is "partial internal transcribed spacer region". The stretch from base 1 to 46 matches the Rfam family "Eukaryotic small subunit ribosomal RNA", at positions 1786 to 1831 of the family's 1831-position model. The record is from RNAcentral. Lineage: Eukaryota; Fungi.